UACGUAGGGGGCAAGCGUUGUCCGGAUUUAUUGGGCGUAAAGCGCGUGUAGGUGGCCAUGUAGGUCCGCUGUGAAAACUUGAGGCUCAACCUCAAGCUGUCGGUGGAAACCACCUGGCUAGAGUCCGGAAGAGGAGAGUGGAAUUCCUGGUGUAGCGGUGAAAUGCGCAGAUAUCAGGAAGAACACCAAUGGCGAAGGCAGCUCUCUGGGACGGUACUGACACUGAGACGCGAAAGCGUGGGGAGCGAACAGG
This 253-nucleotide ribosomal RNA is filed under the name uncultured bacterium. Its description in RNAcentral is "partial 16S ribosomal RNA". It matches the Rfam family "Bacterial small subunit ribosomal RNA", at positions 524 to 776 of the family's 1533-position model. The record is from RNAcentral.